Long non-coding RNA from Micropterus dolomieu (smallmouth bass), 362 nucleotides. RefSeq lists it as uncharacterized. Lineage: Eukaryota; Metazoa; Chordata; Actinopteri; Centrarchiformes; Centrarchidae. The record is from RefSeq and is a predicted model, not a curated record. The transcript has 3 exons.
AACAGUCACGCCCGUUUUACUGCCCCGUUCCAGAUACGGCCCGCAUGUAGUCUGUGUACACUCAGGAGUGGGCGUGAGCAUCCAUCAGUCGGCGGAAUCAUAAUAGUUCUGGCCUGGACUCGUCGGAACGAGCGCGCGAAUUGUUUCUUUUUUUUCUUUCGAACCGGUUCAUACCGGACCAGAAGUCAGUCGGCGGAAUAAAGUUGUUCUGGCCCGGGGCCAUCGGAACGAGCGCGCGAAGUGUUUGUCUUUCUUUGGAUCAGUUCGGACUGCAAGCUUUGUGGAAAGAGGUUAUAACGGUUCAAUCUUUUCUUCACCCCUGGCUGAGAGCCCGGGAUUAUAGGAUGUGAAUCCAGUUCAAA